AUGCUGCUAUUAGAAUUCGAUUAAGCCAUGCAAGUCUGAUGUUUAUUCAUCGGCAAAAUGCUCAGUAACACGUCGAUAAUUUGCCCUAUGGUCAUUGAUAACUUCGGGAAACUGAAGGUAAACAAUGAUAAGAGAAUUUUCCUGCAAUGGUUUUUCUCCGAAACUCGUGCCAUAGGAUAAGUCGGCGGUCGAUUAGGUAGUUGGUGGUGUAAUGGACCACCAAGCCGAUGAUCGAUACGGGCCCUGAGAGGGGUAGCCCGGAGAGGGACACUGAGAAACUGGUCCCAGCCCUACGGGGCGCAGCAGGCGCGAAACCUUUACAAUGCACGCAAGUGUGAUAAGGGGAUUCUAAGUGCUCAUGUUUUACAUGGGCUUUUACUAAGAGUAAAUAUCUUGGUGAAUAAGUGGUGGGCAAGACUGGUGCCAGCCGCCGCGGUAACACCAGCGCCACAAGUGGCAUCCACGUUUAUUGGGCCUAAAGCGUCCGUAGCCGGUUAGGCAAAUCUUUUGUGAAAUCGUCAGGCUCAACCUGACGGCAUGCUUGAGACACUACCUAACUUGAGACCGGGAGGAGUCAGAGGUAUUCCAGGGGGAGCGGUAAAAUGUGAUAAUCCCUGGAGGAUCACCUAUGGCGAAGGCAUCUGACCAGAACGGAUCUGACGGUGAGGGACGAAGGCUAGGGGAGCGAUCCGGAUUAGAUACCCGAGUAGUCCUAGCAGUAAACGCUGCGAGCAAGGUGUUGCGCCUCUCAUGAGGAGGUGCAGUGUCGAAGAGAAGUCGUUAAGCUCGCCGCCUGGGAAGUACGGUCGCAAGACUGAAACUUCAAGGAAUUGGCGGGGGAGCACCACCAGGGGUGCGGCGUGCGGUUUAAUCUAACUCCACGCA
This 885-nucleotide ribosomal RNA is filed under the name uncultured archaeon. Its description in RNAcentral is "bacterial SSU rRNA". It matches the Rfam family "Archaeal small subunit ribosomal RNA", at positions 24 to 919 of the family's 1478-position model. The record is from RNAcentral.